Molecule: ribosomal RNA, 128 nt
Filed under: uncultured Chloroflexaceae bacterium
Lineage: Bacteria; Bacillati; Chloroflexota; Chloroflexia; Chloroflexales; Chloroflexaceae
Description: partial 16S ribosomal RNA
Rfam family: Bacterial small subunit ribosomal RNA
Source: RNAcentral
GCCGCGUGCGCGAUGAAGGCCUUCGGGUUGUAAAGCGCUUUUCGGGGAGAUGAGGAAGGACAGUAUCCCCGGAAUAAGUCUCGGCUAACUACGUGCCAGCAGCCGCGGUAAUAAUCACUAGUGAAUUC